AUUAAAAGAGGCCUUAACAUUUCCCAUGAUCCAACUGUGUAAUUUCUGGUCAGUGAUUCCAGGUUUUAAAUAAUUUGUAAGUGUUCAGUUUCUACACUUUAUCAUCCGCUAAGAAUUUAAAGAAAAAUCACAUUCUCUGUUCAUCUGUUAAUGCUGGGAUCCAUAUUUAGUUUUAUAAGCUUUUCCCUGUUUUUAGUUUUGUUUGGGUUUUUGGCUCAUGGAUUUUAUUUUCUGUUUGUCGAAAAAUGUAAGAGUGUAAUGUUAAUAAAUUUCAGUUUAGUUCUGUAAUGUCAAGAAUUUAAGAAUUAAAAAAAUGGACUGGUUAAAAAAAA
Molecule: small RNA, 332 nt
Filed under: Rattus norvegicus (Norway rat)
Lineage: Eukaryota; Metazoa; Chordata; Mammalia; Rodentia; Muridae
Description: uncharacterized LOC100909694
Source: RNAcentral